This 359-nucleotide long non-coding RNA is filed under the name Homo sapiens (human). RNAcentral describes it as "non-protein coding lnc-CHST9-4:1". Lineage: Eukaryota; Metazoa; Chordata; Mammalia; Primates; Hominidae. The record is from RNAcentral.
CAGAUCUUUGUGAAGAUUCUGACAGGCAAGACCAUCAGCCUCCAAGUUGAACCUAGUGGCACCAUCAGGAUUGUCAGAGCCAAAAUCUAAAACAAGGUGGGCAUCCCACCUGAUCAGCAGUGUCUGGUUUUUGCAGGCAGACAGGAGGAGAAUGGCUGCCUUCUCUCCAACAACAUUCAGAGAGUGUCCACCUGCCCUUGGCAUGUGGCUGCGGGUCUAGACAAUGAUCUAAUCUUUCCUCUACCAGCUUGCUCAAGGAUACAACCAUGCCAAGAUGAUCCACAAUAAGUGGUAUGCCCACCUGCUGCACCGUGUUGUCAACUGUCGCAAGAAUUGCAGCCACCAAGAAGGUCAAAUAA